This is a non-coding RNA of Xylaria castorea, 110 nucleotides long. NCBI's taxonomy places the organism in Eukaryota, Fungi, Ascomycota, Sordariomycetes, Xylariales, Xylariaceae. The record is from the annotation of a GenBank genome assembly.
GGCCUCGUGGCCUAAUGGCAUGGCGUCAGAUUUCGGUUCAUCGUUCAAAUAAAAAAAAGGGCGAGAACUUUAUUCUCUGAAGAUUGUCGGUUCGAAUCCGGCCGAGGUCG